Long non-coding RNA from Hyaena hyaena (striped hyena), 1634 nucleotides. RefSeq lists it as uncharacterized. The transcript is spliced from 3 exons. The record is from RefSeq and is a predicted model, not a curated record. NCBI's taxonomy places the organism in Eukaryota, Metazoa, Chordata, Mammalia, Carnivora, Hyaenidae.
CCACGCCACAGUGGAAAAUGACCGUGGGCCCCACGGCUUCAGAGUCCUAGCCGCAGGGUCCACAGCGCGGCAGAUGGGGACCCAUACCCAAGGCCCCGGGCCGUGAAGGAGGCCUGCCAGACUCGGCACAGCGGGGAGGGCCGUGUGCCCGGCACAGACACUCUCUGGGGCAGCCCCCGCCUCCAGGAUGCACCCUGGUACCCACUGCAGGCGAGUCAACUCUGGUCCGACAGCCUCCAUCCUCUGCGCUCGAGAGCUGGACUCUAAGGAUGCCUCUAGUCGUGCCCAGUGAGUCACUUCGUAUCACCACAUGAGCCAGUGCCACCUCCCACCUUCCUCCCCGUGAAGAUGUUCACCUGAGUCAGCACACCACACAUUCACUAGGGUAAGGUCAUGAGGGGGUUGGAGGGGAAAAUGCCCCCUUUAGAGGAAGAGUGCCUUUCCAUGAAAUACAAGGUCUCUGAGCCUCAGUUUGCCUUCUCUGUGAAAUGGGGCUACUCUGUCUUACCAGACCAUGCAGCUGCCAAAAACAGGCAAAGGGUGAGCAAUCCCUUUGCAGACUCUACCUUGAAACUGUGGUGGGUGCAGGUAAUACCGAAUAACAGCUCUGGGGCCUCUGUUUUCUCCAUGUUUCUGCAGUCUCUAAGGGACCCCGUCUGCCUUUACUACCCUGCCGGAGGGCCUCCCUCGCCUCCCGCGUCCCCAGAGCUCAGCCACAGGCAGAGGCCAGCCCAGGGGAACCCGAAGACACGGUCUCCUCCCCCGUACCCAAGGGCCUGCAGAGAACAGGCUCUGAAGUGCUCGCCAGACACCCCAAGUCGGUCCCGGGGAAGAGGGUCUGCGCAACCGACACGGGGACGCAGCCCACGGUCCUCCUGUGCCCUUAUUAGGCGCUUACUGCACACCUGGCCCCGUUCUUUCAGAAGCGCAGCCCGAGCAUUUCUAAGAAAGAGGAAAACCAUAGCCCAGAGGAGGAGGAAGUCUUCUAAAGAGGGGCCCGCGUCCGCAGUGGGGACAGCGCCUCCCGGUUGCCCGAGAGGUUCAUGGACCUCUGCUCUGGGCCACCAACCCCCAAGAUGAAGAUAGCAAGAUUGGUGCUUCUAGGCGCUGAAUGAAACUGGGAAGUGACUUGCGAGGUGGAAAAUCCCAUCUCCUGACCAGGAGUCUGGGAAAUUACCUGGUUCCCAAACAUUUCUGAGAGAUAGGCCACGCUGAGGGUGCGGCUAGCACAGCCCACAAACUUGACUCUGAUAGAGAGUCAGCCUGUAAAACUAGCAUGAAGGUUUCUUCUGGCCCUUACUAGUCUCGCCUGACAGUUUUGAGGACUCCCUGAUCUGGAAGAGAGAGCCAAAGACCAGGAAUGGGGUGUCACCUGGUGGAUGCAGGGGCAAAUGGUUCUCCAUGGAUGACCCACAUACCUCUCAAACCCAGUGGGUCCCGCUGGCUCAUCUGAUGGCUCCCCAUCCCAGUGAAGGGCAUCUUCACCACCCAAACAUGGGGAUCUUCUGGGACCCCACCUUCCAUCCCAACUCCAUCAGUGGACCCAAGGGUGGGUGACAGCCAAGUCAAGAGAAAAUCAAACCUCUGCCUAGGGAGUCUAUCAAAGGUAUUUAUUUUUUUAAGUUUAUUUAUUU